AUUGAACGCUGGCGGUAUGCUUAACACAUGCAAGUCGAACGUAGCAGGCCUUCGGGCGCUGACGAGUGGCGGACGGGUGAGUAACGCGUAGGAAUCUGCCUCAUAGUGGGGGACAACGUGGGAAACUCACGCUAAUACCGCAUACGCCUACGGGGGAAAGCGGGGAUCUUCGGACCUCGCGCUAUGAGAUGAGCCUGCGUUAGAUUAGCUAGUUGGUAGGGUAAAGGCCUACCAAGGCGACGAUCUAUAGCUGGUCUGAGAGGACGAUCAGCCACACUGGGACUGAGACACGGCCCAGACUCCUACGGGAGGCAGCAGUGGGGAAUAUUGGACAAUGGGCGCAAGCCUGAUCCAGCAAUACCGCGUGUGUGAAGAAGGCCUUAGGGUUGUAAAGCACUUUCAAUUGGGAGGAAAACCUGUCGGUCAAUACCCGGCAGCUUGACAUUACCUUUUAGAAGAAGCACCGGCUAACUCCGUGCCAGCAGCCGCGGUAAUACGGAGGGUG
This 505-nucleotide ribosomal RNA is filed under the name uncultured bacterium. RNAcentral's name for it is "bacterial SSU rRNA". It matches the Rfam family "Bacterial small subunit ribosomal RNA", at positions 30 to 534 of the family's 1533-position model. The record is from RNAcentral.